This 380-nucleotide ribosomal RNA is filed under the name uncultured bacterium. RNAcentral describes it as "bacterial SSU rRNA". It matches the Rfam family "Bacterial small subunit ribosomal RNA", at positions 28 to 412 of the family's 1533-position model. The record is from RNAcentral.
GAUAAACGCUGGCGGCGUGCCUAACACAUGCAAGUCGAACGUCUCUUGCUUCGGCAAGAGGAGUGGCGGACGGGUGAGCAACACGUGGGAACCUGCCCUGCAGUGAGGAAUACCGGCGAGAAAUCGCCGACAAGACCGCAUAGCCUUGGCUGAUGAGAGUCAGGCAAGGAAAGCUUCGCAAGAGGCGCUACAGGAGGGGCCUGCGUCCGAUUAGCUGGUUGGUGGGGUAAGAGCCUACCAAGGCGUCGAUCGGUAGCUGGUCUGAGAGGACGAUCAGCCACACUGGGAUUGAGAACGGCCCAGACUCCUACGGGGGCAGCAGUGAGGAAUUUUCGGCAAUGGGGGCAACCCUGACCGAGCAACGCCGCGUGCAGGAAGAC